UACGUAGGGUGCGAGCGUUGUCCGGAAUUAUUGGGCGUAAAGAGCUCGUAGGCGGUGUGUCACGUCGGCCGUGAAAACCUGCAGCUUAACUGUGGGCGUGCGGUCGAUACGGGCAUCACUGGAGUUCGGCAGGGGAGACUGGAAUUCCUGGUGUAGCGGUGAAAUGCGCAGAUAUCAGGGAGGAACACCGGUGGCGGAAGGCGGGUCUCUGGGCCGAUACUGACGCUGGAGAACACGGAAAGCCGUGGGUAGCAAACACGGA
Molecule: ribosomal RNA, 262 nt
Filed under: uncultured bacterium
Lineage: Bacteria
Description: partial 16S ribosomal RNA
Rfam family: Bacterial small subunit ribosomal RNA
Source: RNAcentral